UUCCCUGCUGGCAAUGGGCACAGAGACACCUCGUUGGUGGUGUUGUUCUUGGAUCAGUCAGGGGCAGAGCAGAUGGCAGUCCUUGUUCAUCCUAGCUUAAUGCCUGGCUUGAUAGCCAACACUAUCUUAGGCUUAGGACUCCUUA
Mus musculus (house mouse) is the source of this 145-nucleotide non-coding RNA. The record is from Rfam. NCBI's taxonomy places the organism in Eukaryota, Metazoa, Chordata, Mammalia, Rodentia, Muridae.